Molecule: non-coding RNA, 235 nt
Filed under: Ureibacillus sinduriensis BLB-1 = JCM 15800
Lineage: Bacteria; Bacillati; Bacillota; Bacilli; Caryophanales; Caryophanaceae
Description: Lysinibacillus sinduriensis BLB-1 = JCM 15800 Bacterial small subunit ribosomal RNA
Rfam family: Bacterial small subunit ribosomal RNA
Source: Rfam by way of RNAcentral
UUUAUGGAGAGUUUGAUCCUGGCUCAGGACGAACGCUGGCGGCGUGCCUAAUACAUGCAAGUCGAGCGGACUUGAUGGGAGCUUGCUCCUUAUCAAGUUAGCGGCGGACGGGUGAGUAACACGUGGGCAACCUGCCCUAUAGUUGGGGAUAACUCCGGGAAACCGGGGCUAAUACCGAAUAAUACAUUUCUUCUCCUGAUGAAAUGUUGAAAGAUGGUUUACGCUAUCGCUAUAG